GACGAACGCUGGCGGCGUGCUUAACACAUGCAAGUCGAACGGAAAGGCCCUGCUUUUGUGGGGUGCUCGAGUGGCGAACGGGUGAGUAACACGUGAGUAACCUGCCCUUGACUUUGGGAUAACUUCAGGAAACUGGGGCUAAUACCGGAUAGGAGCUCCUGCUGCAUGGUGGGGGUUGGAAAGUUUCGGCGGUUGGGGAUGGACUCGCGGCUUAUCAGCUUGUUGGUGGGGUAGUGGCUUACCAAGGCUUUGACGGGUAGCCGGCCUGAGAGGGUGACCGGCCACAUUGCGACUGAGAUACGGCCCAGACUCCUACGGGAGGCAGCGGUGGGGAAUAUUGCACAGUGGGCGGAAGCCUGAUGCAGCAACGCCGCGUGCGGGAUGACGGCCUUCGGGUUGUAAACCGCUUUCGCCUGUGACGAAGCGUGAGUGACGGUAAUGGGUAAAGAAGCACCGGCUAACUACGUG
Molecule: ribosomal RNA, 468 nt
Filed under: uncultured bacterium
Lineage: Bacteria
Description: partial 16S ribosomal RNA
Rfam family: Bacterial small subunit ribosomal RNA
Source: RNAcentral